ACUCAAAGGAAUUGACGGGGGCCCGCACAAGCGGAGGAACAUGUGGUUUAAUUCGAUGAUACGCGAGGAACCUUACCCGGGCUUGAAUUGCAGAGGAACAUAGUUGAAAGAUUAUGGCCGCAAGGUCUCUGUGAAGGUGCUGCAUGGUUGUCGUCAGCUCGUGCCGUGAGGUGUCGGCUUAAGUGCCAUAACGAGCGCAACCCUUAUCAUUAGUUACUAACAGGUCAUGCUGAGGACUCUAGUGAGACUGCCGUCGUAAGAUGUGAGGAAGGUGGGGAUGACGUCAAAUCAGCACGGCCCUUACGUCCGGGGCUACACACGUGUUACAAUGGGGGGUACAGAGGGCAGCUACCGGGCGACCGGAUGCCAAUCCCAAAAACCUCUCUCAGUUCGGAUCGAAGUCUGCAACCCGACUUCGUGAAGCUGGAUUCGCUAGUAAUCGCGCAUCAGCCACGGCGCGGUGAAUACGUUCCCGGGCCUUGUACACACCGCCCGU
This 496-nucleotide ribosomal RNA is filed under the name uncultured bacterium. Its description in RNAcentral is "bacterial SSU rRNA". It matches the Rfam family "Bacterial small subunit ribosomal RNA", at positions 899 to 1397 of the family's 1533-position model. The record is from RNAcentral.